RNAcentral lists this ribosomal RNA (1677 nucleotides) under Providencia rettgeri. RNAcentral's name for it is "bacterial LSU rRNA". It matches the Rfam family "Bacterial large subunit ribosomal RNA", at positions 1270 to 2925 of the family's 2925-position model. The record is from RNAcentral. Lineage: Bacteria; Pseudomonadati; Pseudomonadota; Gammaproteobacteria; Enterobacterales; Morganellaceae.
AUGCUGGAGGUAUCAGAAGUGCGAAUGCUGACAUAAGUAACGAUAAUGCGGGUGAAAAACCCGCACGCCGGAAGACCAAGGGUUCCUGUCCAACGUUAAUCGGGGCAGGGUGAGUCGACCCCUAAGGCGAGGCAGAAAUGCGUAGUCGAUGGGAAACGGGUUAAUAUUCCCGUACUGGUGAUAAUUGCGAUGGGGGGACGGAGAAGGCUAGGCUAUCCGGGCGACGGUUGUCCCGGUUUAAGGAUGUAGGCAGGUGAAUUAGGCAAAUCCGGUUCAUUAUAUGCUGAGGUCCGAUGACGAGUCACUACGGUGAUGAAGUAGCUCAUGCCCCGCUUCCAGGAAAAGCCUCUAAGCUCUAGAUUAUCAUUAAUCGUACCCCAAACCGACACAGGUGGUCAGGUAGAGAAUACUCAGGCGCUUGAGAGAACUCGGGUGAAGGAACUAGGCAAAAUGGUGCCGUAACUUCGGGAGAAGGCACGCUGGCGCUAGGUGAAGUCCCUCGCGGAUGGAGCUGAAGCCAGUCGCAGAUACCAGCUGGCUGCAACUGUUUAUUAAAAACACAGCACUGUGCAAACACGAAAGUGGACGUAUACGGUGUGACGCCUGCCCGGUGCUGGAAGGUUAAUUGAUGGGGUUAUCCGUAAGGAGAAGCUCUUGAUCGAAGCCCCAGUAAACGGCGGCCGUAACUAUAACGGUCCUAAGGUAGCGAAAUUCCUUGUCGGGUAAGUUCCGACCUGCACGAAUGGCGUAAUGAUGGCCAGGCUGUCUCCACCCGAGACUCAGUGAAAUUGAACUCGCUGUGAAGAUGCAGUGUACCCGCGGCAAGACGGAAAGACCCCGUGAACCUUUACUAUAGCUUGACACUGAACAUUGAGCCUUGAUGUGUAGGAUAGGUGGGAGGCUUUGAAGUGUGGACGCCAGUCUGCAUGGAGCCAACCUUGAAAUACCACCCUUUAAUGUUUGAUGUUCUAACGUAGCCCCGUUAUCCGGGGUGCGGACAGUGUCUGGUGGGUAGUUUGACUGGGGCGGUCUCCUCCCAAAGAGUAACGGAGGAGCACGAAGGUUGGCUAAGCAUGGUCGGACAUCAUGCGGUUAGUGCAAAGGCAUAAGCCAGCUUGACUGCGAGAGUGACGGCUCGAGCAGGUACGAAAGUAGGUCUUAGUGAUCCGGUGGUUCUGAAUGGAAGGGCCAUCGCUCAACGGAUAAAAGGUACUCCGGGGAUAACAGGCUGAUACCGCCCAAGAGUUCAUAUCGACGGCGGUGUUUGGCACCUCGAUGUCGGCUCAUCACAUCCUGGGGCUGAAGUAGGUCCCAAGGGUACGGCUGUUCGCCGUUUAAAGUGGUACGCGAGCUGGGUUUAGAACGUCGUGAGACAGUUCGGUCCCUAUCUGCCGUGGGCGUUGGAAGAUUGAAAGGGGCUGCUCCUAGUACGAGAGGACCGGAGUGGACGCACCACUGGUGUUCGGGUUGUCAUGCCAAUGGCAUUGCCCGGUAGCUAAGUGCGGAAGAGAUAACCGCUGAAAGCAUCUAAGCGGGAAACUUGCCUUGAGAUGAGUCUUCCCUGACCCUUAAAGGGUCCUAAAGGAACGUUUAAGACUAAGACGUUGAUAGGUUGGGUGUGUAAGCGUAGCGAUACGUUGAGCUAACCAAUACUAAUGAACCGUGAGGCUUAACCUG